UACAGAGGUCCCGAGCGUUGUUCGGAUUUACUGGGCGUAAAGGGCGCGUAGGCGGCGCAACAAGUCACUUGUGAAAUCUCCGGGCUUAACCCGGAGCGGCCAAGUGAUACUGUCGUGCUAGAGUGCGGAAGGGGCUACUGGAAUUCUCGGUGUAGCGGUGAAAUGCGUAGAUAUCGAGAGGAACACCUGCGGCGAAGGCGGGUAGCUGGGCCGACACUGACGCUGAUGCGCGAAAGCCAGGGGAGCGAACGGG
This 253-nucleotide ribosomal RNA is filed under the name uncultured bacterium. RNAcentral describes it as "partial 16S ribosomal RNA". It matches the Rfam family "Bacterial small subunit ribosomal RNA", at positions 524 to 776 of the family's 1533-position model. The record is from RNAcentral.